UGGUGCUAAAGCUCUUUUAGAAUUUACCUAGCAGGCCGUCUGGUCUCCACCUGAAGGACGUC
RNAcentral lists this small nuclear RNA (62 nucleotides) under Otolemur garnettii (small-eared galago). RNAcentral's name for it is "U7 small nuclear RNA (ENSOGAG00000023468.1)". It matches the Rfam family "U7 small nuclear RNA". Rfam says of the family: Animal histone pre-mRNAs are spliced by a different mechanism than nuclear pre-mRNAs and self-splicing introns. This processing involves the U7 snRNP, which contains only one RNA species: U7. The record is from RNAcentral. Lineage: Eukaryota; Metazoa; Chordata; Mammalia; Primates; Galagidae.